GACGAACGCUGGCGGCGUGCCUAAUACAUGCAAGUCGAGCGGACCAAUUGAAGAGCUUGCUCUUUAUGAGGUUAGCGGCGGACGGGUGAGUAACACGUAGGUGAUCUGCCCAUCAGACGGGGACAACGAUUGGAAACGAUCGCUAAUACCGGAUAGGACGAAAGUUUAAAGGUGCUUCGGCACCACUGAUGGAUGAGCCUGCGGCGCAUUAGCUAGUUGGUAGGGUAAAGGCCUACCAAGGCGACGAUGCGUAGCCGACCUGAGAGGGUGAACGGCCACACUGGGACUGAGACACGGCCCAGACACCUACGGGUGGCAG
This 319-nucleotide ribosomal RNA is filed under the name uncultured Bacillota bacterium. RNAcentral's name for it is "bacterial SSU rRNA". It matches the Rfam family "Bacterial small subunit ribosomal RNA", at positions 28 to 351 of the family's 1533-position model. The record is from RNAcentral. Lineage: Bacteria; Bacillati; Bacillota.